GAGCCCAACCUCCCACCCGUGUUUACUGUACCUUAGUUGCUUCGGCGGGCCCGCCAUUCAUGGCCGCCGGGGGCUCUCAGCCCCGGGCCCGCGCCCGCCGGAGACACCACGAACUCUGUCUGAUCUAGUGAAGUCUGAGUUGAUUGUAUCGCAAUCAGUUAAAACUUUCAACAAUGGAUCUCUUGGUUCCGGCAUCGAUGAAGAACGCAGCGAAAUGCGAUAACUAGUGUGAAUUGCAGAAUUCCGUGAAUCAUCGAGUCUUUGAACGCACAUUGCGCCCCCUGGUAUUCCGGGGGGCAUGCCUGUCCGAGCGUCAUUGCUGCCCAUCAAGCACGGCUUGUGUGUUGGGUCGUCGUCCCCUCUCCGGGGGGGACGGGCCCCAAAGGCAGCGGCGGCACCGCGUCCGAUCCUCGAGCGUAUGGGGCUUUGUCACCCGCUCUGUAGGCCCGGCCGGCGCUUGCCGAACGCAAAUCAAUCUUUUCCAGGUUGACCUCGGAUCAGGUAGGGAUACCCGCUGAACUUAAGCAUAUCAAUAAGCG
This 539-nucleotide ribosomal RNA is filed under the name Aspergillus sp. Y130. Its description in RNAcentral is "eukaryotic LSU rRNA". The stretch from base 163 to 316 matches the Rfam family "5.8S ribosomal RNA". Lineage: Eukaryota; Fungi; Ascomycota; Eurotiomycetes; Eurotiales; Aspergillaceae. The record is from RNAcentral.